Molecule: ribosomal RNA, 445 nt
Filed under: uncultured bacterium
Lineage: Bacteria
Description: bacterial SSU rRNA
Rfam family: Bacterial small subunit ribosomal RNA
Source: RNAcentral
GUGAGGAAUAUUGGUCAAUGGCCGAGAGGCUGAACCAGCCAUGCCGCGUGCGGGAUGACGGCCCUAUGGGUUGUAAACCGCUUUUUUGAGGGAGCAAUAAGGCCCACGUGUGGGCUGAUGAGAGUACCUUGAGAAUAAGCAUCGGCUAACUCCGUGCCAGCAGCCGCGGUAAUACGGAGGAUGCGAGCGUUAUCCGGAUUUAUUGGGUUUAAAGGGUGCGUAGGCGGACGAUUAAGCGUGAGGUGAAAUGCCCGGGCUCAACCUGGGAACUGCCUCGCGAACUGGUUGUCUGGAAUGCUCCUGCCGUGGGAGGAAUGUGUGGUGUAGCGGUGAAAUGCAUAGAGAUCACACAGAACACCGAUUGCGAAGGCAUCUCACGAAGGGGUGAUUGACGCUGAGGCACGAAAGCGUGGGGAUCAAACAGGAUUAGAAACCCUAGUAGUCC